Molecule: non-coding RNA, 82 nt
Organism: Glutinoglossum americanum
Lineage: Eukaryota; Fungi; Ascomycota; Geoglossomycetes; Geoglossales; Geoglossaceae
Source: the annotation of a GenBank genome assembly
GGUCAGGUGGUGUAGGGGUUAGCACGUGUGGUUCUGACAAAUUGGAUUCCACUCGACCUGGGUUCGAUUCCCAGCCCGACCU